GGCUGAAACCCGACCUCCAUGAAGUUGGAUUCGCUAGUAAUCGCGCAUCAGCCAUGGCGCGGUGAAUACGUUCCCGGGCCUUGUACACACCGCCCGUCAAGCCAUGGGAGCCGGGGGUGCCUGAAGUUCGUGACCGCAAGGAGCGACCUAGGGCAAAACUGGUGACUGGGGCUAAGUCGUAACAAGGUAGC
Molecule: ribosomal RNA, 191 nt
Filed under: uncultured bacterium
Lineage: Bacteria
Description: partial 16S ribosomal RNA
Rfam family: Bacterial small subunit ribosomal RNA
Source: RNAcentral